Molecule: ribosomal RNA, 425 nt
Filed under: uncultured bacterium
Lineage: Bacteria
Description: partial 16S ribosomal RNA
Rfam family: Bacterial small subunit ribosomal RNA
Source: RNAcentral
GUGGGGAAUCUUGCGCAAUGGGCGAAAGCCUGACGCAGCCAUGCCGCGUGAAUGAUGAAGGUCUUAGGAUUGUAAAAUUCUUUCACCGGGGACGAUAAUGACGGUACCCGGAGAAGAAGCUCCGGCUAACUUCGUGCCAGCAGCCGCGGUAAUACGAAGGGGGCUAGCGUUGCUCGGAAUUACUGGGCGUAAAGGGCGCGUAGGCGGACAGCUUAGUCAGAGGUGAAAGCCCAGGGCUCAACCUUGGAAUUGGCUUUGAUACUGGCUGGCUUGAGUUUGGGAGAGGUGAGUGGAACUCCGAGUGUAGAGGUGAAAUUCGUAGAUAUUCGGAAGAACACCAGUGGCGAAGGCGACUCACUGGCCCAAUACUGACGCUGAGGCGCGAAAGCGUGGGGAGCAAACAGGAUUAGAUACCCUGGUAGUCC